GGUUAAGCGACUAAGCGUACACGGUGGAUGCCCUGGCAGUCAGAGGCGAUGAAGGGCGUGCUAAUCUGCGAUAAGCGCCGGUAAGGUGAUAUGAACCGUUAUAACCGGCGAUACCCGAAUGGGGAAACCCAGUGUGAUUCGUCACACUAUCAUUAACUGAAUCCAUAGGUUAAUGAGGCGAACCGGGGGAACUGAAACAUCUAAGUACCCCGAGGAAAAGAAAUCAACCGAGAUUCCCCCAGUAGCGGCGAGCGAACGGGGAGGAGCCCAGAGCCUGAAUCAGCAUGUGUGUUAGUGGAAGCGUCUGGAAAGGCGCGCGAUACAGGGUGACAGCCCCGUACACAAAAGCGCAUGUGCUGUGAGCUCGAUGAGUAGGGCGGGACACGUGGUAUCCUGUCUGAAUAUGGGGGGACCAUCCUCCAAGGCUAAAUACUCCUGACUGACCGAUAGUGAACCAGUACCGUGAGGGAAAGGCGAAAAGAACCCCGGCGAGGGGAGUGAAAAAGAACCUGAAACCGUGUACGUACAAGCAGUGGGAGCACCCUUCGGGGUGUGACUGCGUACCUUUUGUAUAAUGGGUCAGCGACUUAUAUUCUGUAGCAAGGUUAACCGUAUAGGGGAGCCGGAGGGAAACCGAGUCUUAAU
This 645-nucleotide ribosomal RNA is filed under the name Salmonella enterica subsp. enterica serovar Typhimurium. RNAcentral describes it as "partial 23S ribosomal RNA". It matches the Rfam family "Bacterial large subunit ribosomal RNA", at positions 1 to 688 of the family's 2925-position model. RNAcentral also lists the same sequence under 1 other name. The record is from RNAcentral. Lineage: Bacteria; Pseudomonadati; Pseudomonadota; Gammaproteobacteria; Enterobacterales; Enterobacteriaceae.